GUGUCAGCCGCCGCGGUAAGACGAACCGUGCGAACGUUGUUCGGAAUCACUGGGCUUAAAGGGCGCGUAGGCGGCUUGCCAAGUCAGGGGUGAAAUCCAGCAGCUUAACUGUUGAAGUGCCUUUGAUACUGGCGAGCUCGAGGGAGGUAGGGGUAUGCGGAACUUCUGGUGGAGCGGUGAAAUGCGUUGAUAUCAGAAGGAACGCCGGUGGCGAAAGCGGCGUACUGGACCUCUUCUGACGCUGAGGCGCGAAAGCUAGGGGAGCAAACGGGAUUAGAAACCCGCGUAGUCC
RNAcentral lists this ribosomal RNA (292 nucleotides) under uncultured bacterium. Its description in RNAcentral is "partial 16S ribosomal RNA". It matches the Rfam family "Bacterial small subunit ribosomal RNA", at positions 505 to 796 of the family's 1533-position model. The record is from RNAcentral.